RNAcentral lists this ribosomal RNA (443 nucleotides) under uncultured bacterium. RNAcentral describes it as "partial 16S ribosomal RNA". It matches the Rfam family "Bacterial small subunit ribosomal RNA", at positions 338 to 795 of the family's 1533-position model. The record is from RNAcentral.
CCUACGGGAGGCUGCAGUGGGGAAUAUUGCACAAUGGGGGGAACCCUGAUGCAGCAAUGCCGCGUGAAGGAUGAAGGUUUUCGGAUUGUAAACUUCUUUUGUACGGGACGAAGAAAGUGACGGUACCGUAAGAAUAAGCCACGGCUAACUACGUGCCAGCAGCCGCGGUAAUACGUAGGUGGCAAGCGUUAUCCGGAUUUACUGGGUGUAAAGGGCGAGUAGGCGGGAUUGCAAGUCAGACGUGAAAUUCCAGGGCUCAACCCUGGAACUGCGUUUGAAACUGUUCUUCUUGAGUGAUGGAGAGGCAGGCGGAAUUCCGUGUGUAGCGGUGAAAUGCGUAGAUAUACGGAGGAACACCAGUGGCGAAGGCGGCCUGCUGGACAUUAACUGACGCUGAGGCGCGAAAGCGUGGGGAGCAAACAGGAUUAGAUACCCCUGUAGUC